Molecule: long non-coding RNA, 1260 nt
Filed under: Mytilus galloprovincialis (Mediterranean mussel)
Lineage: Eukaryota; Metazoa; Mollusca; Bivalvia; Mytilida; Mytilidae
Source: RNAcentral
CUCAGUUUUUAUACUCAUGUAAUUCAUGGUUCUAUAUUUCUUUUGUUUACUCUGUAUGUGCACGUUUUUUUUAUUUUUUACACCGCGCGGGUAUCAUUUGUAACCGUAAGUUAAAACAGAAUUAAGGAAUGAAGAAAGGGCAUGCAAAACCACAUUUUUAUAUCAUGUGUGUUUGGAUUUUUUUUGUUGUUUUUUUUUUUUUGGGGGGGGGGGAGGUCAUUUGAGUUUUCAAUUAAAUUUUAUUUUAUACAUGUAUACGGUAACCAUGUAUACAUGUAGGGCAUACCCUAAUUUUUUUCACUUACAGGGACAAAAUCAAAAAAUUUUAAGAUCUACCCAGAGGUAGAUUUCUUUCAUAGAGAGGGAUGGACAUGGACCUCCAUUUGUUGAAACAAUAAGUUGAUUGUUUAUGGAAUCACUGUUACGGCAGUCAGAAGUCCCCACUGCUACACCCUGUGGAAUUUGAAGUCAGUUAUAUAAGAUUCAUAUAAGGUAUUAAUGAUACCUUACUCGUAUCAAAUUAAUUUUUUUAUAUUUCCAUAUAUAUUCAAUGAGCCUAUAUAGCGGUUUCGAAAAUAUUGCAAAGUACGUUAAGAUGUUGAGAAUAUCCUUACUGUAAUAAUUUGUUUUAGUAAAGAUUGUAGGACUUUUGAAAAAUGCCCUAGUUUGUAUAUGGAUUCCUGGAGAAAAAAAAAUCCACCCUCCCCCUUUUUUUGUUGUAAAAAGGAAGUGAUAAAAAUGUCAAUUUCACAUCACAAUAGAUAUUUUUCAAACCAUAAUGUAAGCAAGGGGUCUGGAAAGGGAGAUGUCAGCGCACAAUAUGCUGAACUAUUAGUAAACAUUUUAUUGAAAAAAAAUGUUCUGUAAAAUGGUUUGCUUACAAUGCGACCCUUAGUCUUGUGCUACGCCACUGUCAAAACCUUGAUCAUGUUUUGUUAGAGUUUUAAACUUAUUGUUGUAUCCAUAAAAUAUUACACCCAUUAAAAGAUGAUUAAAGAUUAAGUAGAGGAAAGUCGGAUUACCGAAAUAUUUUUCCUCCAAUGCUCAUCCGUCAAAACAUAUAUCAACCUUAAAAACCGUUGUCUUAUAUAUGCGCCAAUUGUUCAUCAUUAUACUAUGUUACGUUCUAUUGAAUUGUUUUACAUACCUGUAUCAAUUUAACCCCAGCUCUUUGGAAUAAAAGCAUGCAUUGAUCAAUAAAUUUAAAUAAUCAUAACAAACUUUUACAUGGAUCAUGCAUGUGAUGAGCUAGUAUAUAUC